Molecule: long non-coding RNA, 1472 nt
Organism: Nycticebus coucang (slow loris)
Lineage: Eukaryota; Metazoa; Chordata; Mammalia; Primates; Lorisidae
Exons: 4
Source: RefSeq, a predicted model, not a curated record
CAGCCUCUAGCUCUUGGGCUUCUGCGAUUCUCCUGCCUCAGCCUCCCGAGCAGCUGGGACUACAGGCGCCCGCCACAAUGCCCGGCUAAGGCUAGACGUACUUCUAGAGAUAGGUUAAUUUGAGCUACUUACCAUGUACCCCACCAAGAAAAGCUGUCAAAAAUGCAUGUUUGGUGCUAUGGACUUGAAAGCAAGAGAUAAAGAAGUAGAAGAAAGGAAGGAAAAACAUCAAGAAAAAGAAGGCCAGCUCAUUUUAUGGCAGUGGGCUUCUCCUAGAGAAGUGAUCCAAGAGAGAGGGCUGGAAUUGGAGAGGCCAAGACGGAAGCCACAGCACCUAAUCUCUAAAGUUGCUACACAUAGUCACCUCAGACAUUGAAUUUGUUACAGGGUGAUUGAAACGAGAGUGAUUCUCACCUGGGAGGAACAAUCACAUACUUCAUACCUGAGGGCUCUCAGCAGCCUCGCUCAGUGUUCUGUCCUCUGAACUGCAAGCUAUUGGGAGCCAGCAAGUCUGUGAUUGAAGCAGGUCCAUGUUCUGAUGCAGUUUCUCCAGCUGUGGAAAUUUCUAGGGCUUAUCAACAUCCCAUGGAAAAUAGUCUAUAUCAAAGCCAGCACUGUGCAGGGGAUAGAGAAAACUAUCACUAGUUCUCAUUCACCUGGGGUACAGGUGCACGUGUGUGAAUUACACAUAAUUACAAAUGCUCUGGACACAUCUGACCCAUUUGCACCGUCUAUGCUACCAACAGAUCAUAUGGAAUCAUCUCAGAAAUUCAGAUUAUUAUGCAGUAUGGGAACAAUCUAGAUAAAGGCAGGUGGGGUGGAUAUUCACACAGAUGUUUUCCCAUAUAUUCGUCAUUGCUAAAGGGUCAGUAAAAUACAGGUUUGUCUUAGGGUUCAUUUUUCGUGGAUCAUUGAUCAUAAGCUUUAUUAUUUUAUUUAUUUAAUUAUUAUUGUUUUUUUGCAGUUUUUGGCUGGGGCUGGAUUUGAACCCACCACCUCUGGCAUAUGGGGCCGGUGCCUUAAUCCAUUGAGCCACAAGUGCCACCCCGAUCAUAAGCUUUAGAAACACUUGCAGAGGGAAAUCCAAAAGUGCCCCAGAGACAGUAUGACGAUAACAAUAUCUGCCUCAUAAACAUAUGCCUCUUAUAUACCUGUCUUAGUUGGCUUUCAUUCCUGUAAAGGAACACCUGAGGCUGGGUAAUUUAUAAAGAAAAGAGGUUUAUUUAGCGCAUGGCUCUGGGGCAGUAUGAGAAGCAUGGCAUAAGCAUCAGCCUCGGGUGAGGGCCUCAGGAAGCCUCUGCUCAUAGCUGGGGGUGAAGGGGAGGAGGCGUGUCACAUGGCAAGAGAGGAGGACAAGAGGGACAGGUGGAGGUGCCAGACUCUUUUCAACAACCAACUCUUUUUUUAUUUUUAGAAACAGUCUUACUUUGUCAGUAGAGUGCUCUGGCAUCAUAGCUCACAGCAACUUCAAA